CUCUCUUCUUCCAUCUGUACCUAUUCAUCUACAUACUCAUAUUCAUCAGUUGGGUCUCAGUCUGAAGAUCUUACUCUAGAGAAAUACUCCCUGGAUUAGGAACAUAUGAAAAGAUAUAUGGAGUCCCUCCGGCCAGCUCUGAUUUCUGGAAUUAGGGAGAAGAAAAUGGUCUUUUUCUAUAGUUUAGGAAAUAGUCUCCUUUCAGCUUUGGGGAAACACCAGAGUUCCCAAUCUGGUUCUGUCAGUUUCUCAAUCUGAGACGUCAUACACUUGGUUUAACUUAAGAUUCCGUUUCUUUGUCUGUAAGAAUGGAGUGUUACUCAUAUCAUGGCUACCCGGCAGAACACUUUUUGUAAGUUUUCCCGGCAUAACACCCAACACAAGGAGGUAAUAAAAGAAUAUUGGCUUCCAUUUUCUAUCUCUAAUUCAACGUACAGAAAGUUUCUCUCGGUUUUAUGGUAGCCAUUUUAAGUCUCCAGGUCUAUCUAGCUUUCGGAUAAGUCUAUCCUCUCCUGGCAGUAGAAAUCAUGCAUCCUGAGUGAAGAAGAAGUAGCUACUUCUCUUUAUUCCUUUCCGGAUCCUCCCCUGAAGUGAAGCAUACUCAAAGACAAAAAGCCUCCCAAAGUCAACAGUCAACACGGCUGCGGAAGACGACGAUGCAAACCCUUAGGGACUGCGAUGGCUCCUCUGAGCCAGUCUGCUGACCCUGACGUGACCUAACCUGGUGGGAAGUGGUGGAGCGGACUGCGCAUCCGUUUACUCUGGUCGCAGAGAACGAGAGGAAGACUAAGCCACAGCUCCUCUUUGGAAAGCUUAUUUCCAGACUGGCAACACUUUUUGACACUCACCAUAAACUGUUAUGAUUACUAGUUUGUGAAUGGACUACUUGUGGGAACCUCCAUGACAACUUUGAACGCCCAGUAGCUAUCCCAGGGCUGGGGGCAGCCGGCUUUAAGUAAUGUUCACAAAAUGAUGAAUGAACGAAUGAUCUAGGACAAAAUAACUGAUUCAAAGGGCUCCUAUAUAAAAAGCAUCGUGGAAAACAGUGUCAUUAUUGUGAUUAUUUUCUAAUUUUCUUCCUUGGCACCACACGGAAUAAGCCUUCUCUCUCUUCUGCAAGAGGUUUCAGGUUUUUAAAAACAGCCACUCUCUCUCCGAGAGAUCCCUCCUCCACGCUAGGUAGACCCAGCUCUUUCCACACUCUGCCGUGACUGCGAAUUCCUCAGCCUCUGUACUAUCAGGUGCAGCUCCAAGUGACUGAAAACCUAACCCAUCAUAGUUUCAACAAGAUACUCCAUCUUGGCAAAAGUCAGGGAGAGUGUCUUGCUGGCUUUGAAGAAGGAAGCUGUCGUGUUGGGAGAAGGCCACCUGGCAAGGCAGUCUCUAGGAGCAGGGAGUGACCCUGGCCAACACCCACCAAGAAACAGGGACCUCAGUGCCAGAACCUGAAGUUACUGAAUUCUGCCAACAAUCUGAAUGAGCAUGGAGGAGGAUCCUGAGUUCCAGAUG
RNAcentral lists this long non-coding RNA (1509 nucleotides) under Equus caballus (horse). RNAcentral's name for it is "lncRNA (ENSECAG00000051733.1)". The record is from RNAcentral. Lineage: Eukaryota; Metazoa; Chordata; Mammalia; Perissodactyla; Equidae.